GUACACUCCUACGGGAGGCAGCAGUGGGGAAUUUUGGACAAUGGGCGAAAGCCUGAUCCAGCCAUGCCGCGUGCAGGAUGAAGGCCUUCGGGUUGUAAACUGCUUUUGUACGGAACGAAACGGCCUUUUCUAAUAAAGAGGGCUAAUGACGGUACCGUAAGAAUAAGCACCGGCUAACUACGUGCCAGCAGCCGCGGUAAUACGUAGGGUGCAAGCGUUAAUCGGAAUUACUGGGCGUAAAGCGUGCGCAGGCGGUUAUGUAAGACAGUUGUGAAAUCCCCGGGCUCAACCUGGGAACUGCAUCUGUGACUGCAUAGCUAGAGUACGGUAGAGGGGGAUGGAAUUCCGCGUGUAGCAGUGAAAUGCGUAGAUAUGCGGAGGAACACCGAUGGCGAAGGCAAUCCCCUGGACCUGUACUGACGCUCAUGCACGAAAGCGUGGGGAGCAAACAGGAUUAGAAACCCUGGUAGUCCCAU
Molecule: ribosomal RNA, 476 nt
Filed under: uncultured organism
Description: partial 16S ribosomal RNA
Rfam family: Bacterial small subunit ribosomal RNA
Source: RNAcentral